UGGGGAAUAUUGCACAAUGGAGGGAACUCUGAUGCAGCGACGCCGCGUGAACGAAGAAGGCUUUCGAGUCGUAAAGUUCUUUUAUAUGGGAAGAUAAUGACGGUACCAUAAGAAAAAGCCCCGGCUAACUACGUGCCAGCAGCCGCGGUAAUACGUAGGGGGCUAGCGUUGUCCGGAAUCACUGGGCGUAAAGGGUUCGCAGGCGGAAAUGCAAGUCAGGUGUAAAAGGCAGUAGCUUAACUACUGUAAGCAUUUGAAACUGCAUAUCUUGAGAAGAGUAGAGGUAAGUGGAAUUUUAGUGUAGCGGUGAAAUGCGUAGAUAUUAAAAAGAAUACCGGUGGCGAAGGCGGCUUACUGGGCUUAUUCUGACGCUGAGGAACGAAAGCGUGGGUAGCAAACAGG
Molecule: ribosomal RNA, 402 nt
Filed under: bacterium
Lineage: Bacteria
Description: partial 16S ribosomal RNA
Rfam family: Bacterial small subunit ribosomal RNA
Source: RNAcentral